This 544-nucleotide long non-coding RNA is filed under the name Nicotiana benthamiana. Its description in RNAcentral is "long non-coding RNA (NBEN_LNC034122)". The record is from RNAcentral. Lineage: Eukaryota; Viridiplantae; Streptophyta; Magnoliopsida; Solanales; Solanaceae.
GUAACUCGAGUGUCCGAAGCAAUGGUGGUGCGUCAGUGGCAGUGAUUCAGGCAACGUUGGAUGAAGUUUUUAACGCCGGACAUGCUCUUCUUGUUGCUGGUUCGUCACUAUAAACUCCAAUCAAACCAAAGUUGAAUAACAAACUCAGCAACAAGAAAAUCUUAUUUGAGCAAAGCAGAAAAGGCCAUCAACUCGCCGGAAUAGAGCCACUGGAGUUUUGACUUCGAACCAAGAAAGAAAGGUAGAUUAGGGGGAAGAAAUACACACUCAUGUAGGUAUUAAGUGGUGGUGAGGUCUCAAUCUUGACAAAUCUGACGAAAAGUAGGCAGCUAGGGUUUCAUUCUUUACAAGAUUUGUGGCAUUUGAGAAGGAUUCGAGGGAUUAUGGGCUUGGAUUAGGGCAGAGGAGAAGGAGAUGAAGAGGUUGGAAUUGGUUGGAAGGUGUUUGGCCACCGGAGGACGGCAACAUAUGGUGGAAGCAGCGGUUGGGCAGCAACGACUUGAGAGAGGGUGAGAGAGAUGAGAGAGUGAAAGAGAAGUCUCUA